UAACACGUGGGUAACCUGCCUUAUAGUGGGGGAUAGCCUUUCGAAAGGAAGAUUAAUACCGCAUAAGAUUGUAGUAUCGCAUGAUAUAGCAAUUAAGGGAGCAAUUCGCUAUAAGAUGGACCCGCGUCGCAUUAGCUAGUUGGUGAGGUAAUGGCUCACCAAGGCGACGAUGCGUAGCCGACCUGAGAGGGUGAUCGGCCACAUUGGGACUGAGACACGGCCCAGACUCCUACGGGAGGCAGCAUG
RNAcentral lists this ribosomal RNA (246 nucleotides) under uncultured bacterium. RNAcentral's name for it is "partial 16S ribosomal RNA". It matches the Rfam family "Bacterial small subunit ribosomal RNA", at positions 111 to 353 of the family's 1533-position model. The record is from RNAcentral.